This 427-nucleotide ribosomal RNA is filed under the name uncultured bacterium. RNAcentral's name for it is "bacterial SSU rRNA". It matches the Rfam family "Bacterial small subunit ribosomal RNA", at positions 355 to 774 of the family's 1533-position model. The record is from RNAcentral.
UGGGGAAUUUUGGACAAUGGGCGCAAGCCUGAUCCAGCAAUGCCGCGUGCAGGAUGAAGGCCUUCGGGUUGUAAACUGCUUUUGUACGGAGCGAAAAGGUCUGCCCUAAUACGGUGGGCUCAUGACGGUACUGUAAGAAUAAGCACCGGCUAACUACGUGCCAGCAGCCGCGGUAAUACGUAGGGUGCAAGCGUUAAUCGGAAUUACUGGGCGUAAAGCGUGCGCAGGCGGUUAUGCAAGACAGAGGUGAAAUCCCCGGGCUCAACCUGGGAACUGCCUUUGUGACUGUAUAGCUAGAGUACGGUAGAAGGGGGUGGAAUUCCGCGUGUAGCAGUGAAAUGCGUAGAUAUGCGGAGGAACACCGAUGGCGAAGGCAAUCCCCUGGACCUGUACUGACGCUCAUGCACGAAAGCGUGGGGAGCAAACA